Molecule: long non-coding RNA, 449 nt
Filed under: Linum usitatissimum (flax)
Lineage: Eukaryota; Viridiplantae; Streptophyta; Magnoliopsida; Malpighiales; Linaceae
Description: long non-coding RNA (LUSI_LNC002791)
Source: RNAcentral
UUUCGCUACUCUUAAAGGCAAUUUGAUAAAUUUCAUUGUUUUAAAAACGAAGGUGUUAAACAAAAGAAAAAAUAAAGUAGAAGUAAAAGAGAAAAAUGGAGGAAGAAAAAAUAUAUUAAUAAGAGAAAAAAGAGCUUCGAAAAGAGAAAGCGGAGGGAAAAUUGAGAAAAGUGUAAACUAUAUAAGACGUGGGAGAGAUAAAAAGAAGUUGAGGAUUUUCUUUUUACCUGAAAAAUUUAAAAUAAUGGUAAGAAUUGUUACGAUAGCUUUUCUCAAACUGUACCCAUUAUUAGAAAAAUAAUAUUAUCAACCAUAAAAUCUUAAAAUAUAUUAAAAAACAGUUUGAGAGUAAGUGUUGCUAUGUCGAAAAUUUAGAAAGCCACGCCAGAUCCUAUAAAACGACAGCGUUUCUCCCGGGGAAAUGAAGUUCAGGCUUUUGAUCUUUCCUC